GCUUUGUCAAUAUGCUUCGUCUUCAUUCCUGCCAUGGUUGUUCAAAUCAGGGAACUCCUAGCAUUUCAGAUCCCCAGAUUGCUGUUUAAUGGACAGCUGAAACGAGGUGCUCUGUGGACAUUAGUUCAGACUUGGAGGCUUGGAAUCAGUUCUUUGUAACUGGCUUGGUCUCAUUCCUGAGGAUGACGGAGCUUCUUCCCAUGACCAUGCACAGAUGACAUCAGCACUCAGAAUCUCAUUCACAAUGAAACCCAUCUGCAGGGAGCCACCUUUACCCCGAGUAUGGAUUUCAGCUUUGCUUCUAUUUAAUCGUUUCACUGUGCUGUCCAAGCUGGUCUUGAACUCCUGGACUCAAGCAAUCUUCCCUUCCUCAGCUUCCCCAGAUCCUGAGAUUACAGGCAUGAGCCACCAUGCCUGGCCUGGUGAUUCUCUUUAAUGAUUAAAAAGUCAAAAG
Molecule: long non-coding RNA, 454 nt
Filed under: Homo sapiens (human)
Lineage: Eukaryota; Metazoa; Chordata; Mammalia; Primates; Hominidae
Description: HSALNT0346146
Source: RNAcentral